Molecule: transfer RNA, 68 nt
Filed under: Marmota monax (woodchuck)
Lineage: Eukaryota; Metazoa; Chordata; Mammalia; Rodentia; Sciuridae
Description: tRNA.Pro
Source: RNAcentral
GGAUUGUGGCUCAGUGGUACAAUGCUCACCUAGGACGCGUGAGGCACUGGGUUCGAUCCUCAGCACCA